GAUGGGAUCCCUGGUGAGUGACGGCCACUGCGCGGGCGACCAGAUCAGCAGGGCUAGAAGCGAGGCUUGCGGAGCAUGGAACCCGGCCCACGCCGGGGUCUGCGAUCCAGCCAGCCCGCGAAGGUGUCCAAGGUGGGAUGAGUGGAUCCCCUGGACCAGGCGGCUCGAGAGGAUGCGUGGCUCCGUGGGUGGAACGAGAAAGGAGCUGGGUCAGAGAGGAGACUCCCGGGCCUGGAACGCUGCGAGCAUCUAAAAGUAUGGUCGCGGGCACCUCCCCCCCCAGCUUUGUGGAAGGACCUGUUAUGUGUGCCCCUGUCCUGCUGGGGAGUGGAUGGUACCCAGGACCCAGCCAGAGACCAGCUGAAGACAUUCUCCUUGCAAGCUCUCACCCCAGGAGGUCCCGUCUCGGGUGGUGGACCUACCAUGGCAUUCCGGAGGACUGAGGGUAUGUCCAUGAUCCAGGCUCUGGCCAUGACUGUGGCUGAGAUUCCAGUGUUCCUGUACACAACUUUUGGUCAGUCCGCGUUCUCCCAGCUGCGGUUGACACCGGGCCUGAGGAAGGUUCUUUUUGCCACAGCCCUUGGGACUGUGGCCUUGGCCCUGGCUGCCCACCAGCUGAAAAGGCGCCGGCGGAAGAAGAAGCAGGUGGGCCCUGAGAUGGGAGGUGAGCAGCUGGGCACGGUGCCCAUGCCCAUCCUCAUGGCCCGCAAGGUCCCUUCGGUGAAGAAAGGCUGCUCCAGCAGGAGGGUUCAGAGCCCCAGCAGCAAGAGCAACGACACUCUUAGUGGCAUCUCCUCCAUCGAGCCCAGCAAGCACUCAGGCUCCUCCCACAGCCUGGCCUCGAUGGUAGUGGUCAAUUCAUCCAGCCCUACAGCUGCGUGCUCAGGUUCAUGGGAAGCCCGAGGGAUGGAGGAGUCUGUGCCCACCACUGAUGGCAGUGCCGAGAGCCUCUAUGUGCAAGGCAUGGAGCUGUUUGAGGAAGCCCUGCAGAAAUGGGAGCAGGCACUGAGUGUGGGCCAGAGAGGGGAUGGAGGCAGCACCCCCACACCAGGCGACAGCCUCCAGAACCCAGACACCGCAUCAGAAGCACUGUCAGAGAGUCCCAACGAAGGGAGUUUGCUGAGAAGCUGGAGUCCCUGCUGCACCGGGCCUACCACCUGCAGGAAGAGUUUGGCUCUACCUUCCCCUCUGACAGCAUGCUGUUGGAUCUUGAGAGGACCCUAAUGCUGCCACUGACUGAGGGCUCACUGCGACUUCGAGCUGACGAUGAGGACAGCCUGACCUCUGAAGACUCCUUUUUCUCAGCCACUGAGAUCUUUGAGUCCCUGCAGAUCGGCGAGUACCCGCUUCCUCUCUCCAGGCCUGCUGCUGCCUACGAGGAGGCUCUGCAGCUGGUGAAGGAAGGAAGAGUCCCUUGCCGAACACUCAGGACAGAGCUGCUGGGCUGCUACAGUGACCAGGACUUCCUAGCCAAGCUGCAUUGUGUACGGCAGGCCUUUGAGGGGCUUCUAGAAGAAAGAAGCAACCAGAUCUUCUUUGGGGAGGUCGGCCGGCAGAUGGUGACGGGCCUGAUGACCAAGGCUGAGAAGAGUCCCAAAGGCUUCCUGGAGAGCUAUGAGGAGAUGCUGAGCUACGCCCUGCGGCCUGAGACCUGGGCUACCACCCGGCUGGAGCUGGAGGGCAGAGGGGUGGCCUGCAUGAGCUUCUUCGACAUCGUGCUGGACUUCAUCCUCAUGGAUGCCUUUGAGGACCUAGAGAACCCUCCGUCUUCGGUGCUUGCUGUCCUGAGGAACCGCUGGCUGUCUGACAGCUUCAAAGAAACAGUGGGUCCUGUCCCUCCCGUCCCUUUCCUGGGACCUUGGGCACUGGUCCUCUUGUGUCCCUGCCCACUGAGAUGUGGGAUGUCAGACCCGGGGCUCUCUGCAGGCACUCGGGCGCUUCCUGCUGCCCCAGCUCCAGCAGUGUGCACAUCUCCCUCUGUGUUGUCCUCACAUGGGCAGAGCCCCCACUCUGGUCAGGCACUAAGUCAUUCAUUUUACUGCACCCCAUUAAGUUAAAAUAGAGAACGUCUACCCACCCACCCCCAACAAAAUGACAAGAAACUCCAAGGCCCCCAAUAAUAUGGUGGUGCUGGUGCCCACAGCUCUUCUCCAGCUAGGCCAUUCAUAGGUACUCAUGAUGGCUCCCAACCACCAAGUGAGGGAUGGGUGGGGUGCUGUGUCAUGGCCAUUUUACAGAAGAGGAAACAGGCUUGGAAACCUCCACAUCCAAAUGGAGUUCUAAAGCAGUAAAAGUCAGAGCCUGGAUUCAAGAAUAGGCCCUAGCCACCGCGUGCUGGUCUGUCCUGAAAGCCAAGAGGAGGCUCCUGAUGGUGCCUGAUGGCUUCAUCUCCCAUUUCUACUCCGUAUCGGAGCAUGUUAGCCCUGUGUUGGCCUUUGGCUUCCUCGGACCCAAGCCCCAGCUCUCGGAAGUCUGUGCUUUCUUCAAGCACCAGAUUGUACAAUACCUGAGGGACAUGUUCGACCUGGACAACGUGCGCUACACAUCUGUGCCAGCCCUAGCAGAAGACAUCCUACAGCUGUCCCGGCGGCGCAGCGAGAUUCUAUUGGGCUACCUGGGGGCACCUGUGGCUAGUAGCAUCGGGCUGAAUGGGCCACUGCCUCGAGAAAAUGGGCCCCUGGAAGAGCUGCAGUAACAGGGGAUGGGCUGGAGGGGAGAGGUGGCUGUUUGGGCCUCAGAUACAAGGUGAUAGGAGAGAGAAAGCUGCCACUCCCUUCCUUUGGGUUGGUAUCCAAGGGCCAUGGUGGCCAAGGGCCAUUGCCCCUAAGCUUGCUCCACUUCCUCACCUGGGAAUUCCCAACACCCAGGGGACAAAUUUCCAUGGAGAGGAACCACUAGAAGCACUGAUAGCAGCUGCCCUUGGGGUUCCCUGAGCAGCAGAGGCAGGCCAGAGUCAGCAGGGACUGGCCAGGGGCAGGUAGCAAGAGAGAAAGGUGUGGGAGCAAAUGGCUCUUGAGUAUGGACCACAGAACCCCAGUCCCCCCCUGCUGCUGAGGGAGGGCAAGGGAUAGUUGAGGGAUAGAACAUACAGGGCUAGGUGGUGACAGUCACAGGGUCCUGCAAUUAGCAGCCACCAAUAGCUACAUUAAGUCCCAGCACCUAGGCUUCUGGCCAGUAUGGAAAGCCAUGUCUGGGCCAUCCAGAGGUGGGCUUGCCCCAUGUGUGCUCACAUCUGAGCAGGUACUCACCCUUCACAAACCCUUGGCGCUGUUCUCCACAUUCCCACACCCUGCCAAAGAUUGUUUUUAUCCCCUCUGUCACCAAAGAUGGAGGAGGCAGGACUGGCCGCUUCCUGCUCUCUGGUGAGCCAGGAGCUCCUGGGCAGUGCUGGGCCCCAGUCAGAGCUCACAGUGGCCCAUCUACUGCUCCAAAAGUGAGCACGGAACCAUGGCAGGGUGGGCAUGGGCUGCACAGCGGGCAGCUCCCCCUUCCCCUUUCUGACAGGAAGCUGGACUCAGCACUUUGCCUUCAACUCCAUGCACACGUGCUUUGGGGCUGCCACCACCCACGUCCUGCAGACAGUUGGCAUUUGUCACGGCAGCUGCAGUAGUCCUGGCAGCCCUCCUUUUGCCUGAGCUGGGAAGUUUUUAUUUAUUGCCUUAAUACUUUAUUUGGCUGUUCCAUCCCUUCCAGGUUGUGACACCAGGAGAAAAGACUCCUGGUCUGGAGUUGAGCACUGGCUCCUGGAACCAAGUUCCUCUCCCUGGAAGGGAAAAGGGUUCCCCAGGGUCAGCAGGAUGCAGUAAAGAGAGGGCAGCCAUGGCUCUGGGUCCUCUCUGAGGCUUGUGCUCAGAAGGGAGCAGCCCUCAUGCACUGUCUUGACAUUCCAUUCAUUUGCACUUACCCUGAGCUGUGAAUGUGACCCUGGGCUAAGGCCUGCUCUGCUCUGCCCCUGACCCAUACAGUGUGGUAUUUUCAUUUUUGUCCUGUUCAUGUGUCUAUGCCCCACCCUCUAGCACUCAACCAGCAGUGGUAGAGUGUGUGUAAGGCCUGUGAGUCAGAUAAAGGACCGAAGCGACU
Molecule: RNA transcript, 4080 nt
Organism: Mus musculus (house mouse)
Lineage: Eukaryota; Metazoa; Chordata; Mammalia; Rodentia; Muridae
Gene: Miga2
Gene name: mitoguardin 2
Exons: 16
Source: RefSeq, marked validated